AAAUGAAUAGACGGGGACCCGCACAAGCAGUGGAGCAUGUGGUUUAAUUCGAAGCAACGCGAAGAACCUUACCAGGUCUUGACAUCCCCCUGAAUGUCUCAGAGAUGAGGCAGGCCCUUAUGGGACAGGGGAGACAGGUGGUGCAUGGUUGUCGUCAGCUCGUGUCGUGAGAUGUUGGGUUAAGUCCCGCAACGAGCGCAACCCUUGAGCUUAGUUGCCAGCGGGUGAUGCCGGGCACUCUAGGCUGACUGCCGGUGACAAACCGGAGGAAGGCGGGGAUGACGUCAAAUCAUCAUGCCCCUUAUGACCUGGGCUACACACGUGCUACAAUGGCCGGUACAAAGGGCAGCGAAGGAGCGAUCCGGAGCCAAUCCCAAAAAGCCGGUCUCAGUUCGGAUUGCAGGCUGCAACUCGCCUGCAUGAAGCCGGAAUUGCUAGUAAUCGCGGAUCAGCAUGCCGCGGUGAAUACGUUCCCGGGUCUUGUACACACCGCCCGU
RNAcentral lists this ribosomal RNA (497 nucleotides) under uncultured bacterium. RNAcentral describes it as "bacterial SSU rRNA". It matches the Rfam family "Bacterial small subunit ribosomal RNA", at positions 903 to 1397 of the family's 1533-position model. The record is from RNAcentral.